This is a long non-coding RNA of Coregonus clupeaformis (lake whitefish), 488 nucleotides long. RefSeq lists it as uncharacterized. NCBI's taxonomy places the organism in Eukaryota, Metazoa, Chordata, Actinopteri, Salmoniformes, Salmonidae. The transcript is spliced from 3 exons. The record is from RefSeq and is a predicted model, not a curated record.
GCCAGUACUUGCCAGAAAUUCCUGCAGUUCCUUUAAUGUUGCUGUAGGCCUCUUGGAAGCCUCCCUGACCAGUUUUCUUCUCGUCUUUUCAUAAAUUUUGAGGGACGUCCAGUUCUUGGUAAUGUCUCUGUUGUGCCAUAUUUUCUCCACUUGAUGAUGACUGUCUUCACUGUGUUCCAUGGUAUAUGUAAUGCUUUGGAAAUUAUGUUGUACCCUUCUCCUGACUGAUAUCUUUCAACAAUGAGAUCCCUCUGAUGCUUUGGAAGCUCUCUGCGGACCAUGGCUUUUGCUCUGAGAUGCAACUAAGAAAUGUCAGGAAUAUCCUACUAGAACAGCGGAACUUUAUUUGUGAUUAAUCAGAGUCACUUUAAAUGAUGGCAGGUGUGUAAUGACUUCUAUUUAACAUGAGUUUGAAUGUGAUUGGUUAAUUCUGAACACAGCCACAUCCCCAGUUAUAAGAGGGGGUGCACACUUAUGCAACCAGGUUA